UGACCGAGACAGGGGUCGAACCUGCGACCUUCUGAUCACGGGAUAAUAAUAUUAUAAGAAUAUUUAAUCGUAGUCAGACGCUCUGCCAUUGAGCUACACGGCC
This 103-nucleotide transfer RNA is filed under the name Metarhizium brunneum. RNAcentral's name for it is "tRNA-Arg". Lineage: Eukaryota; Fungi; Ascomycota; Sordariomycetes; Hypocreales; Clavicipitaceae. The record is from RNAcentral.